Molecule: ribosomal RNA, 410 nt
Filed under: bacterium enrichment culture clone ALO1_GLFRUDD03HGCZZ
Lineage: Bacteria
Description: bacterial SSU rRNA
Rfam family: Bacterial small subunit ribosomal RNA
Source: RNAcentral
GAGUUUGAUCCUGGCUCAGAUUGAACGCUGGCGGCAUGCCUUACACAUGCAAGUCGAACGGCAGCACGGGAGCUUGCUCCUGGUGGCGAGUGGCGAACGGGUGAGUAAUGCAUCGGAACGGUAUCCUGGAGUGGGGGAUAACGUAGCGAAAGUUACGCUAAUACCGCAUAUUCUGUGGAGCAGGAAAGCGGGGGACCUUCGGGCCUCGCGCUCUUGGAGCGGCCGAUGUCGGAUUAGCUAGUUGGUGAGGUAAAGGCUCACCAAGGCGACGAUCCGUAGCAGGUCUGAGAGGAUGAUCUGCCACACUGGAACUGAGACACGGGUCCAGACUCCUACGGGAGGCAGCAGUGGGGAAUUUUGGACAAUGGGGGCAACCCUGAUCCAGCCAUGCCGCGUGAGUGAAGAAGGCC